Molecule: long non-coding RNA, 371 nt
Organism: Myzus persicae (green peach aphid)
Lineage: Eukaryota; Metazoa; Arthropoda; Insecta; Hemiptera; Aphididae
Exons: 2
Source: RefSeq, a predicted model, not a curated record
GUUUACACCCGACCAAAACAACGAAUGUGGAUACUACAAAACGAAAAACGCUCCGAACCGCGAGCGAAUUUUGGUACGCCUAUAUCGACCACCGGUAUAGGUGGUCGACAGGCACUACGCAUAUACAACUGGUGUCUAAAAAGGUUUAUUGGUGUUCAUACGCUUCCGUCAUAAUAAAUAAGUUACCAGCUAUUAUUGAUUUUAUGCUGUUAUAUAAAUAAAUAAUUGAUCAAUACAAUCGUUGACAGUAUUUACUAUCUGCACUCCUAUAUUUAUGUAAUCUGAAAUAACUUUCUUUUCAUAUCAGCACUGCUGUCUAUAGUGUCAGUUUGAACAUAUAUUAUUUUUAAAUAAAUUAUAUACCUUACCUA